This 500-nucleotide ribosomal RNA is filed under the name uncultured bacterium. Its description in RNAcentral is "partial 16S ribosomal RNA". It matches the Rfam family "Bacterial small subunit ribosomal RNA", at positions 30 to 523 of the family's 1533-position model. The record is from RNAcentral.
AUUGAACGCUGGCGGCAUGCUUUACACAUGCAAGUCGAACGGUAACAGGGUGCUUGCACCGCUGACGAGUGGCGAACGGGUGAGUAAUGCGUCGGAACGUGCCGAGUAGUGGGGGAUAACGCAGCGAAAGUUGUGCUAAUACCGCAUACGUACUGAGGUAGAAAGUGGGGGACCUUCGGGCCUCACGCUAUUCGAGCGGCCGACGUCUGAUUAGCUAGUAGGUGAGGUAAAGGCUCACCUAGGCGACGAUCAGUAGCGGGUCUGAGAGGAUGAUCCGCCACACUGGGACUGAGACACGGCCCAGACUCCUACGGGAGGCAGCAGUGGGGAAUUUUGGACAAUGGGCGAAAGCCUGAUCCAGCCAUGCCGCGUGUCUGAAGAAGGCCUUCGGGUUGUGAAGGACUUUUGUCGGGGAGGAAAUCCCUAGCGUUAAUACCGCUGGGGGAUGACAGUACCUGAAGAAUAAGCACCGGCUAACUACGUGCCAGCAGCCGCCGUAA